This 253-nucleotide ribosomal RNA is filed under the name uncultured bacterium. Its description in RNAcentral is "partial 16S ribosomal RNA". It matches the Rfam family "Bacterial small subunit ribosomal RNA", at positions 524 to 776 of the family's 1533-position model. The record is from RNAcentral.
UACGUAGGGGGCAAGCGUUGUCCGGAUUUAUUGGGCGUAAAGAGCGUGUAGGCGGCUUUGCAAGUCCGUUGUGAAAACUCGAGGCUCAACCUCGAGACGCCGGUGGAAACUGCAAAGCUAGAGUCCGGAAGAGGAGAGUGGAAUUCCUGGUGUAGCGGUGAAAUGCGCAGAUAUCAGGAAGAACACCCGUGGCGAAGGCGGCUCUCUGGGACGGUACUGGCGCUGAGACGCGAAAGCGUGGGGAGCGAACAGG